GUAAAUCAAUCUCGGGUAUAGCA
RNAcentral lists this non-coding RNA (23 nucleotides) under Arabidopsis thaliana (thale cress). The record is from RNAcentral. Lineage: Eukaryota; Viridiplantae; Streptophyta; Magnoliopsida; Brassicales; Brassicaceae.